GACGAACGCUUUCUUCUCUCCUAACACAUGCAAGUCGAACGGAGCUGAGAGAAGCUUGCUUUUCUUAGCUUAGUGGCGAACGGGUGAGUAACGCGUGAGUAACCUGCCCUGGAGUGGGGGACAACAGUUGGAAACGACUGCUAAUACCGCAUAAGCCCACGAUCCGGCAUCGGAUUGAGGGAAAAGGAUUUAUUCGCUUCAGGAUGGACUCGCGUCCAAUUAGCUAGUUGGUGAGGUAACGGCCCACCAAGGCGACGAGUGGUAGCCGGACUGAGAGGUUGAACGGCCACAUUGGGACUGAGACACGGCCCAGACUCCUACGGGAGGCAGCAGUGGGGGAUAUUGCACAAUGGGGGAAACCCUGAUGCAGCGACGCCGCGUGGAGGAAGAAGGUUUUCGGAUUGUAAACUCCUGUCGUUAGGGACGAUAAUGACGGUACCUAACAAGAAAGCAAAGGCUAAAUACGGG
This 468-nucleotide ribosomal RNA is filed under the name uncultured bacterium. Its description in RNAcentral is "partial 16S ribosomal RNA". It matches the Rfam family "Bacterial small subunit ribosomal RNA", at positions 28 to 507 of the family's 1533-position model. The record is from RNAcentral.